UCACCUCCCGCUUCCUGGAGCCCGUUUACUUUGCUCCACUGUCAAUUUGUCACCUGCAACCAGGGGAGAGAUGUGCUCAGAAGUAAAGACGUUGGGUGAAGCUUCGGUUGGUACAGGUUGGCAGCGGCCCUGGCAGUGAGGAGACUCAGCCGCUGUGGACCUGAAACCCGGACAUGUGCUGCUGCUAUAGAACCACCUGCCUUGUACUCACCGGGAGAGGUGGAUACAAUCUAGGAGGUCCAGCAGAGGUGGAAUUCUGGGGGCAUUGACCAGAGGUCUCCAUUGCUGGGAUCAGAGCCGGCCGAAACGGCAACUCUACGAUCUCCAGGAGAGUUGGCAGAGGAGCAGCGGCUGCUUCAGGAACUUCACCCAGCCCUGGAUCAGGUGUUAGGCGGCCUCCGGUCCUGGUGGAGCACUGGGAGGGAGGUUUUUCUUCCCAUAUACAGAAGAUCCUAAAAGGUAGUGAGAAGCACGAGUCAGAAAAGAGAAUAAAAAUGCAUCAAGAUAUGGUGGAGGUGUUUGAAACAAGUGGAAACCCAAGAAAUGUAAUCCUGUAGAAGCAGGGCUCUACAAAUUUAAAGCAUGGAAACUGGAUUCUGGAAUUCUUUACAGUGGGCGCAUUUUCCCUAAGAAACUGCUAGAGAAGCCACCUAUUGGCUUUGAUUUUGAAACGGAGAAAAUAAUCAAACAGUGAGAAGCAAAGAGUGUAUUGGAGGAUAAACACUUUAAAUUUAUGCAAAGCCUUGCCCAAAUCUUGUUAGGUGUUGUGGGUGUUCCCAAUAAGAAAGAAAUUCCACUCAC
Bubalus bubalis (water buffalo) is the source of this 801-nucleotide long non-coding RNA. RefSeq lists it as uncharacterized. The record is from RefSeq and is a predicted model, not a curated record. Lineage: Eukaryota; Metazoa; Chordata; Mammalia; Artiodactyla; Bovidae. The transcript is spliced from 3 exons.